Choloepus didactylus (southern two-toed sloth) is the source of this 1037-nucleotide long non-coding RNA. RefSeq lists it as uncharacterized. The transcript has 3 exons. Lineage: Eukaryota; Metazoa; Chordata; Mammalia; Pilosa; Megalonychidae. The record is from RefSeq and is a predicted model, not a curated record.
AUCUGGGUACAAAGAGGCAGAGAAGGCUGAUCUGCCAAGAAAACCCAAAAGUAAUGAACAGAGACAAGAGACCACAUAACCGCAGUAAGACAGAGAGUGCCGUGGUCCCUGACAGCUUCUAACUCAGGGUUCUAGAGCUUGAGAGGCCCAGCUGUACCUUCAGCAACAUUGAGCCCCCUGAAGAAUCCCUACAGCAGCAGUAAAUAAGCUGAGGACAAGAAGAUCUUCCAGGGCAGGGUUUUGGUUGGAGCACUGGAUUAAGUUCACUGCAAGACCAAGAAAAUUGCCUAUGCCUGUUUAGGAAGCUAAUGAACCACGACAAGAACAAAAGGCCGGCGGCCAGGGAAAGGGUGGAAAGAAGGACCCUGGACAAUCUGCAGACUGGGUCAUGGGCUCCUGAACUGAUUGUGUCCCAGCUCACGUGGACAAGGACCUUCUCAGUAUACUUUGCCCUGCUUGUAACUGCAUCAGACCCUCCUCUCCAUGGGGCCCACUCACCAGGGCAGAAGGGCAGAAACUGAAGCUUUGCUUCUAGGGUGGGAGUGGAAGGAGAAACUUGGCUGGCUGAGGGAAUGAGAAGUCUUGUUUGAGAGAUCUAUGAGUUUGUAGCUUCAGAACUGGCUGGCAAGCAUGGGGCGGGGGCAUGCAAAUCCCCACAGGUGCAGGACAAAACGGAAGUGGCCUUGGUUGAGGCUGCAGGGGCAGAUGACCACCCAUUUUGCAUAUGCUAGGACCUGGCUCCCUCCAGGUGUAGGGCUACAUUUAGCUAUUCCCCACCAUUAAGCUAGGGGCUUGCCCAAUGCUUUGGCUAGGACUGGGCCUAACUUGCCCCCUCAGCAUUACAAAUUGGGCCCCAGGCCACUCCUGUGUUGGGAAAAAAAUCACAAUUACUCCUUCUCUUCCCCUUAACCAAAUCUGCAUAUCAUAGAUAUGAAAUCUGGCUGAAAUGGACCUGAAGAUUUGUCAACUCUUCCUUACUCAUCUUGAUGCUGUCAAGCCCAUUUCCCCUUCUCACUCCACCCCCAAUCCUAAAACAU